RNAcentral lists this ribosomal RNA (253 nucleotides) under uncultured bacterium. RNAcentral describes it as "partial 16S ribosomal RNA". It matches the Rfam family "Bacterial small subunit ribosomal RNA", at positions 524 to 776 of the family's 1533-position model. The record is from RNAcentral.
UACAGGGGGGGCAAGCGUUAUUCGGAUUCACUGGGCGUAAAGGGUGCGCAGGCGGCCAAGUGUGUCAGGUGUGAAAUCCCGGGGCUUAACUCCGGAACUGCGCCUGAAACUACUUGGCUAGAGCAUUGGAGAGGGAAGUGGAAUUCACGGUGUAGCAGUGAAAUGCGUAGAUAUCGUGAGGAACACCAGAGGCGAAGGCGACUUCCUGGACAAUUGCUGACGCUCAGGCACGAAAGCGUGGGGAGCCAAAGGG